AUUGAACGCUGGCGGCAGGCCUAACACAUGCAAGUCGAACGGUAACAGGAAGCAGCUUGCUGCUUCGCUGACGAGUGGCGGACGGGUGAGUAAUGUCUGGGAAGCUGCCUGAUGGAGGGGGAUAACUACUGGAAACGGUAGCUAAUACCGCAUAAUGUCGCAAGACCAAAGAGGGGGACCUUCGGGCCUCUUGCCAUCGGAUGUGCCCAGAUGGGAUUAGCUUGUUGGUGGGGUAACGGCUCACCAAGGCGACGAUCCCUAGCUGGUCUGAGAGGAUGACCAGCCACACUGGAACUGAGACACGGUCCAGACUCCUACGGGAGGCAGCAGUGUGGAAUAUUGCACAAUGGGCGCAAGCCUGAUGCAGCCAUGCCGCGUGUAUGAAGAAGGCCUUCGGGUUGUAAAGUACUUUCAGCGGGGAGGAAGGGAGUAAAGUUAAUACCUUUGCUCAUUGACGUUACCCGCAGAAGAAGCACCGGCUAACUCCGUG
RNAcentral lists this ribosomal RNA (490 nucleotides) under uncultured bacterium. Its description in RNAcentral is "partial 16S ribosomal RNA". It matches the Rfam family "Bacterial small subunit ribosomal RNA", at positions 30 to 507 of the family's 1533-position model. The record is from RNAcentral.